This 405-nucleotide ribosomal RNA is filed under the name uncultured bacterium. Its description in RNAcentral is "partial 16S ribosomal RNA". It matches the Rfam family "Bacterial small subunit ribosomal RNA", at positions 28 to 526 of the family's 1533-position model. The record is from RNAcentral.
GAUGAACGCUGGCGGCGUGCCUAAUACAUGCAAGUCGAGCGGGGCGGGGACGGGUGAGUCACACGUGUCUGACCUCCUAUAAGACUGGGAUCACUUCAGGGACCCUGAUCUAAACCCGAUCCUUAUACAUGUAUCCUCGCUGCAUUAGCUAGGUGGUAAGGUAACGGCUUACCAAGGCAACGAUGCAUAGCCGACCUGAGAGGAUGAUCGGCCACACUGGAACUGAGACACGGUCCAGACUCCUACGGGAGGCAGCAGUAGGGAAUCUUGCGCAAUGGGCGAAAGCCUGACGCAGCCACGCCGCGUGAGUGAAGAAGGUCUUCGGAUCGUAAAGCUCUUUUAGUAGGGAGGCGGUACCUAAACAGAAAGCACCGGCUAACUACGUGCCAGCAGCCGCGGUAAUAC